Molecule: ribosomal RNA, 440 nt
Filed under: uncultured bacterium
Lineage: Bacteria
Description: partial 16S ribosomal RNA
Rfam family: Bacterial small subunit ribosomal RNA
Source: RNAcentral
CCUACGGGGGGCAGCAGUGGGGAAUAUUGCACAAUGGGGGAAACCCUGAUGCAGCAACGCCGCGUGAGUGAAGAAGUAUUUCGGUAUGUAAAGCUCUAUCAGCAGGGAAGAAGAUGACGGUACCUGACCAAGAAGCCCCGGCUAACUACGUGCCAGCAGCCGCGGUAAUACGUAGGGGGCAAGCGUUAUCCGGAUUUACUGGGUGUAAAGGGAGCGCAGACGGCAGUGCAAGUCUGGAGUGAAAGCCCGGGGCCCAACCCCGGAACUGCUCUGGAAACUGUGCGGCUAGAGUACUGGAGGGGCAGGCGGAAUUCCUAGUGUAGCGGUGAAAUGCGUAGAUAUUAGGAAGAACACCAGUGGCGAAGGCGGAUUACUGGACGACAACUGACGGUGAGGCGCGAAAGCGUGGGGAGCAAACAGGAUUAGAUACCCCAGUAGUC